RNAcentral lists this long non-coding RNA (1835 nucleotides) under Ananas comosus (pineapple). Its description in RNAcentral is "long non-coding RNA (ACOM_LNC008191)". The record is from RNAcentral. Lineage: Eukaryota; Viridiplantae; Streptophyta; Magnoliopsida; Poales; Bromeliaceae.
AUUUUUAGAGAAAUGAUUCGGUACUUUUUUAAAAAAAAAAUAAAAAAGAUCUUAACCGUUGAUUAAUAGAGGGUAAAAAUGUAACUUUAAUACUUAGCAGGUAAAAAAAUUAUUUUAUUCAAGGUUAGUUUGGUAAUUAAAUAAUACAAUAUUUAAAGAAACUUUUAUUUGAGGUCCUAAAUUUAUGCAUUAAUUAGCACUAAUUUAGGAAAUUAAUUGAUUAACCAAAUUUAUGCAAUUAUUAGGCAUUAAUUUAGGAAUCUACUUUAAAUGUUUUAGUGUUUCUCAAAUUAUACAUUAAUUUAAAUUAUAGAAAUUUUAGAAAUAGUUUUAUUUCUAAAUAUGAUGAAUUUAAAUUUUAAAAAUUAAAUAUUUAAAAUUUAAAAGUGAAAUUUAAAUUAGAGGAAUUUUAUAUUACUAUUUAAAAACUAAAAUUCUACCAAGAUUUAAAAUACAGUUUAUUCGCACCAGUUUAAAACGUAAUGCAUAAAAAACUUAGAGAGUAAGAUUUCUACAACUAGAUUUCUCUAGAGGAAUUUCAUAUUACUAUUUAAAUUUUAAAUUCAAUGAUUUAAAAACUAGAUUGAACCGAUUGAUUUGACUGAUCAGACUUUGACCUAUUCUAUCAAGAAUCUGAUUUUAACCUAUUGAACUGAAUAACACUAAGAACAAUUUCGAACCGGUAAAGAUAAUAAAUAUUUUAAAUAGAAUGAUAAUUUAACUGUUAGAGCUAAUAAAUAUUUUAAAUAUAAUUUUAAACAUAUAAAUUAAAAAGAUUAGAAUUAUUGGUGAGAAAAAAAAUAGUUAGGAAUUUGAAUUCGAAUCUGACUAACAAUCACAAAACUUAUUUCCGAACUCGACGGAUUUCAAAAAUCCAUAUCCAAAUUCAAAACUGACCAAUUUUUCGAAACCCAAAACCAAACCUAAACCAGAAGACUAGAAUUCAAACAAUUAUUUCUGUUUACCAUAUUUCAAAGUAUUUAUAUGAAACUUAAAUUUUUAAAAUAUAAAUUUGAAUAUAAUAUUAAAUUUUAAAUUUAAAAGUGAAAUUUAAAUUAGAGGAAUUUCAUAUUACUAUUUAAAGUUUAAAUUCAAUGAUCAUAUUGUCAAAUUAUUUGAAAUUUUUCUUAUAUGAAAUGCCAAAUUAUGAAAGGAAAGAUAGAGAGAGAAAAAGGAAACAAAAAAAAAAUAAAAAUUUUGAAAAUAUAAUAGAUGUAAAAUGACUAAAUUGUUCAUAUAUUAAAAAACAAAAAUAUCCUUUUUUGAGGUACCUGGUAACCGGUACCUCUCUUAAAGUGACCUACUAUUGCAGGUCACAAUUUUAAAAAAACUAAAUCUGAGCCGUUGAAUACGCGUGAAUGAACGGUAAUCAAAAAAAAAAAGUAUAGAAGCAUUACUCCUAUUUUUAUUUUAAGCUAAAUACUGAAAAUUCACUAAUCUGGAGAAAAUUCAAAUUAUUUAUAUGCCAAAUUAUUCAAACAAUACAUUCUAUACCUGUUAAGUCUAUGAUCCAAAGAGGUUCCAUCCCAGAGUUAAAAUCUUUUCUUCUGGGCUUAUAAUUUUUGAAUUGUAAUAUUAAAAAAAUAAACAAUGACAAGAUUAUAAGAGAAAAGAGCAUAAUAAAGUUUUUUGAGAGAUAGGUAGCACGCUAUCUGUUUCGUUUAUUUUAUUUUGAAAUAAACUUAGCUAGAAAUAUGAAUUAACUAGGAUUCGAACUUGGAUUUCGAGUACCAACCACGAAACUCUUUGCCACUUGCUUUAGGGACGGCCGGCUUUUUAUAAUUUCAUUCGAGUUAUAAGGCUAAUAUUACUCAAUAAGAAAAAUAUAUUGCUUC